CCUACGGGAGGCAGCAGUGAGGAAUAUUGGUCAAUGGACGCGAGCCUGAACCAGCCAAGUAGCGUGAAGGAUGACUGCCCUACGGGUUGUAAACUUCUUUUAUAAAGGAACAAAGUGAGGCACGUGUGCCUUUUUGUAUGUAUUUUAUGAAUAAGGAUCGGCUAACUCCGUGCCAGCAGCCGCGGUAAUACGGAGGAUCCGGGCGUUAUCCGGAUUUAUUGGGUUUAAAGGGAGCGUAGAUGGGUUGUUAAGUCAGGUGUGAAAGUUUGCGGCUCAACCGUAAAAUUGCAAUUGAUACUGGCAGCCUUGAGUACGGUUGAGGUAGGCGGAAUUCGUGGUGUAGCGGUGAAAUGCUUAGAUAUCACGAAGAACUCCGAUUGCGAAGGCAGCCUACUAGACUGCCACUGACAUUGAUGCUCGAAAGUGUGGGUAUCAAACAGGAUUAGAUACCCGAGUAGUC
This 460-nucleotide ribosomal RNA is filed under the name uncultured bacterium. RNAcentral describes it as "partial 16S ribosomal RNA". It matches the Rfam family "Bacterial small subunit ribosomal RNA", at positions 338 to 795 of the family's 1533-position model. The record is from RNAcentral.